AACAGUUUCAAGAAAAACCGCAGCCUGAAGAAAAAACAAAUAAUAAAAUUAAACUUAUGUUAUUGAAUGCAGUAAACUGUAGUGUAUACACGUGGUAGAUGACAAUUGCAGAUGAAAUAAUCAUGCGAGUACCAUUUAAUUUAUCAAGAUGUUUGGUGCGUAGAACAAAAAAAAGAAGGAACAUACAAAUAAUAUAAUGCAUUUGAAAACCGAUAUUAUUAAAUACGAUAUAUACGGAACAGCUACUAAUUGCAUUUGGAGGAAAGGAAUGAAAGUUUUAUACUAUAUGUAAUGUGAUCCAAAAUCAUAAAAUAAUGGAUUAAUGGAUUGAUAGAAUAAUGAAUUAAUGAAUUAAUAAAAUAAGGUAUUAACAUAUUCUAAGGAUAAUGAAUUAAUAUAUUGACAGAAUAAUAUAAGGUACAUAUAUUGAAUUAACGGAUGUACAGAAUAAUCGAUUAACAGAUCCACAAAAUAAUGUAUUAAUAUAUUCAUAAAACAAUGGAUUCAUAAGAUUCAUAAGAAUAAGAAUAAUGGGUUAACGGUUUCUCAAAUUAAUGGAUAAACGUGUCAAUAGCUGUGUGGGCCAUCGGCUGGAUUUUCCAUUCAAAUCAUUGUGACUGUUUCAUAUAAAAUGAAAUAUGAAUCAUGCAGCGUUGUGACUUACAAGGGAGCAUAUAGGAUAAUCUAUUCCAUUCCGUGAGAAGAUCUACUUAGAAAAGAUUUCGCAGACAUGAUUUAUUCUGUUCUGUGUCAAAAAUUGGCACUAGUAUCACUCAUCUGCACUUAUUCUGUUACUUUCUUUGUUAAUAUUUUUUUGUUCAUAAUGUAUGCAGUCAUUUUUUGAGUAAACUUUCUAUUUUUUUCACUUU
Molecule: long non-coding RNA, 869 nt
Organism: Vespula vulgaris
Lineage: Eukaryota; Metazoa; Arthropoda; Insecta; Hymenoptera; Vespidae
Exons: 4
Source: RefSeq, a predicted model, not a curated record